GAAUUGUUUGUCACUGGCUUGCUAUAGAAGGCGUACAACCUGCAAUUCCAGAAAAUGCUCCUCUAGAAGGUUUUUUUUUUUCUAACCUUUCGAGAGAAGUGUUGGAAUCUAAAGGUCUUCGCCUAAGCCGAUCAAAGACAGAAUAUAUGGAGUGCAAGUUCAGUGCAAAUGGAGGCCAAAACGAGUUAGGGGUGAGGAUCGGAGAUCAAGAAAUACCAAAGAGCGACCGUUUUCGUUACCUAGGAUCUAUCUUGCAAAAGAACGGAGAAUUAGAUGGAGAUCUCAACCAUAGAAUACAAGCUGGAUGGAUGAAGUGGAAGAGUGCAUCCGGCGUGUUGUGUGACCGCCGUAUGCCACUGAAGCUCAAGGGAAAAUUUUAUAGGACGGCAAUAAGGCCGGCGAUGUUGUAUGGCACAGAAUGUUGGGCGGUGAAGCAUCAACACGUACAGAAAAUGCUCCUCUAGAAGGUUUUUUUUUUUCUAACCUUUCGAGAGAAGUGUUGGAAUCUAAAGGUCUUCGUCUAAGCCGAUCAAAGACAGAAUAUAUGGAGUGCAAGUUCAGUGCAAAUGGAGGCCAAAACGAGUUAGGGGUGAGGAUCGGAGAUCAAGAAAUACCAAAGAGCGACC
This 626-nucleotide long non-coding RNA is filed under the name Malus domestica (apple). Its description in RNAcentral is "long non-coding RNA (MDOM_LNC008010)". Lineage: Eukaryota; Viridiplantae; Streptophyta; Magnoliopsida; Rosales; Rosaceae. The record is from RNAcentral.